RNAcentral lists this ribosomal RNA (253 nucleotides) under uncultured bacterium. Its description in RNAcentral is "partial 16S ribosomal RNA". It matches the Rfam family "Bacterial small subunit ribosomal RNA", at positions 524 to 776 of the family's 1533-position model. The record is from RNAcentral.
UACAGAGGUCUCAACCGUUGUUCGGAUUCAUUGGGCGUAAAGGGUGCGUAGGUGGUCGCGCAAGUCGGAUGUGAAAUCUCAGGGCUCAACCCUGAAACUGCAUUCGAUACUGCGUGGCUAGAGUGCUGGAGGGGAGACUGGAAUUUACGGUGUAGCAGUGAAAUGCGUAGAUAUCGUAAGGAAGACCAGUGGCGAAGACGAGUCUCUGGACAGCAACUGACGCUGAGGCACGAAGGCCAGGGGAGCAAACGGG